CCUACGGGAGGCAGCAGUGGGGAAUAUUGCGCAAUGGGCGAAAGCCUGACGCAGCGACGCCGCGUGAGGGAUGAAGGUCUUCGGAUCGUAAACCUCGGUCAGCAGGGAAGAACGGUCACUGUGCUAAUCAGCAGUGAAUUGACGGUACCUGCAAAGGAAGCACCGGCUAACUCCGUGCCAGCAGCCGCGGUAAUACGGAGGGUGCGAGCGUUAAUCGGAAUUACUGGGCGGAAAGCGAUCGUAGGCGGUAUGUCAAGUCACGGGUGAAAUCCCCCGGCUCAACGUUGGAACUGCCUUUGAAAACGGGAAACUUGAGUGUGUGGGAGGAUAGUGGAAUUUCUGGUGUAGGAGUGAAAUUCGUAGAUA
Molecule: ribosomal RNA, 366 nt
Filed under: uncultured bacterium
Lineage: Bacteria
Description: partial 16S ribosomal RNA
Rfam family: Bacterial small subunit ribosomal RNA
Source: RNAcentral